AGUGAACGCUGGCGGUAGGCCUAACACAUGCAAGUCGAACGGCAGCACAGUAAGAGCUUGCUCGUACGGGUGGCGAGUGGCGGACGGGUGAGGAAUACAUCGGAAUCUACUUUUUCGUGGGGGAUAACGUAGGGAAACUUACGCUAAUACCGCAUACGACCUACGGGUGAAAGCAGGGGAUCUUCGGACCUUGCGCGAGUGAAUGAGCCGAUGUCGGAUUAGCAAGUUGGCGGGGUAAAGGCCCACCGAGGCGACGAUCCGUAGCUGGUCUGAGGGGAUGAUCAGCCACACUGGAACUGAGACACGGUCCAGACUCCUACGGGAGGCAGCAGUGGGGAAUAUUGGACAAUGGGGGCAAGCCUGAUCCAGCCAUACCGCGUGGGUGAAGAAGGCCUUCGGGUUGUAAAGCCCUUUUGUUGGGAAAGAAAAGCAGCAGGUUAAUACCCCGCUGUUCUGACGGUACCCAAAGAAUAAGCACCGGCUAACUUCGUG
Molecule: ribosomal RNA, 492 nt
Filed under: uncultured bacterium
Lineage: Bacteria
Description: partial 16S ribosomal RNA
Rfam family: Bacterial small subunit ribosomal RNA
Source: RNAcentral